RNAcentral lists this ribosomal RNA (271 nucleotides) under uncultured bacterium. Its description in RNAcentral is "partial 16S ribosomal RNA". It matches the Rfam family "Bacterial small subunit ribosomal RNA", at positions 524 to 794 of the family's 1533-position model. The record is from RNAcentral.
UACAGAGGGUGCAAGCGUUAAUCGGAAUUACUGGGCGUAAAGGGCGCGUAGGCGGCCACCUAAGUCGGACGUGAAAUCCCUCGGCUCAACCGAGGAACUGCGUCUGAUACUGGGUGGCUUGAGUUCGGGAGAGGGAUGUGGAAUUCCAGGUGUAGCGGUGAAAUGCGUAGAUAUCUGGAGGAACAUCUGUGGCGAAGGCGGCAUCCUGGACCGACACUGACGCUGAGGCGCGAAAGCCAGGGGAGCAAACGGGAUUAGAUACCCCUGUAGU